Molecule: ribosomal RNA, 449 nt
Filed under: Achromobacter xylosoxidans
Lineage: Bacteria; Pseudomonadati; Pseudomonadota; Betaproteobacteria; Burkholderiales; Alcaligenaceae
Description: bacterial SSU rRNA
Rfam family: Bacterial small subunit ribosomal RNA
Source: RNAcentral
UGAACGCUAGCGGGAUGCCUUACACAUGCAAGUCGAACGGCAGCACGGACUUCGGUCUGGUGGCGAGUGGCGAACGGGUGAGUAAUGUAUCGGAACGUGCCCAGUAGCGGGGGAUAACUACGCGAAAGCGUAGCUAAUACCGCAUACGCCCUACGGGGGAAAGCAGGGGAUCGCAAGACCUUGCACUAUUGGAGCGGCCGAUAUCGGAUUAGCUAGUUGGUGGGGUAACGGCUCACCAAGGCGACGAUCCGUAGCUGGUUUGAGAGGACGACCAGCCACACUGGGACUGAGACACGGCCCAGACUCCUACGGGAGGCAGCAGUGGGGAAUUUUGGACAAUGGGGGAAACCCUGAUCCAGCCAUCCCGCGUGUGCGAUGAAGGCCUUCGGGUUGUAAAGCACUUUUGGCAGGAAAGAAACGUCGCGGGUUAAUACCUCGCGAAACUGACG